UAGGGAAUCUUCCACAAUGGACGCAGGUCUGAUGGAGCAACGCCGCGUGAGUGAAGAAGGUCUUCGGAUCGUAAAGCUCUGUUGUUGGUGAAGAAGGAUAGAGGCAGUAACUGGUCUUUAUUUGACGGUAAUCAACCAGAAAGUCACGGCUAACUACGUGCCAGCAGCCGCGGUAAUACGUAGGUGGCAAGCGUUGUCCGGAUUUAUUGGGCGUAAAGCGAGCGCAGGCGGAAUGAUAAGUCUGAUGUGAAAGCCCACGGCUCAACCGUGGAACUGCAUCGGAAACUGUCAUUCCUGAGUGCAGAAGAGGAGAGUGGAACUCCGUGUGUAGCGGUGGAAUGCGUAGAUAUAUGGAAGAACACCAGUGGCGAAGGCGGCUCUCUGGUCUGCAACUGACGCUGAGGCUCGAAAGCAUGGGUAGCGAACAGGAUUAGAUACCCUGGUAGUCCAUGCCGUAAACGAUGAGCGCUAGGUGUUGGGGACUUUCCGGUCCUCAGUGCCGCAGCAAACGCAUUAAGCGCUCCGCCUGGGGAGUACGACCGCAAGGUUGAAAC
RNAcentral lists this ribosomal RNA (554 nucleotides) under uncultured bacterium. RNAcentral describes it as "partial 16S ribosomal RNA". It matches the Rfam family "Bacterial small subunit ribosomal RNA", at positions 355 to 900 of the family's 1533-position model. The record is from RNAcentral.